Molecule: ribosomal RNA, 492 nt
Filed under: uncultured bacterium
Lineage: Bacteria
Description: partial 16S ribosomal RNA
Rfam family: Bacterial small subunit ribosomal RNA
Source: RNAcentral
AGUGAACGCUGGCGGUAGGCCUAACACAUGCAAGUCGAACGGCAGCACAGUAAGAGCUUGCUCUUACGGGUGGCGAGUGGCGGACGGGUGAGGAAUACAUCGGAAUCUACUUUUUCGUGGGGGAUAACGUAGGGAGACUUACGCUAAUACCGCAUACGACCUACGGGUGAAAGCAGGGGAUCUUCGGACCUUGCGCGAUUGAAUGAGCCGAUGUCGGAUUAGCUAGUUGGCGGGGUAAGGGCCCACCAAGGCGACGAUCCGUAGCUGGUCUGAGAGGAUGAUCAGCCACACUGGAACUGAGACACGGUCCAGACUCCUACGGGAGGCAGCAGUGGGGAAUAUUGGACAAUGGGCGCAAGCCUGAUCCAGCCAUACCGCGUGGGUGAAGAAGGCCUUCGGGUUGUAAAGCCCUUUUGUUGGGAAAGAAAAGCAGCAGGUUAAUACCCCGCUGUUCUGACGGUACCCAAAGAAUAAGCACCGGCUAACUUCGUG